This 436-nucleotide ribosomal RNA is filed under the name uncultured bacterium. RNAcentral's name for it is "bacterial SSU rRNA". It matches the Rfam family "Bacterial small subunit ribosomal RNA", at positions 129 to 559 of the family's 1533-position model. The record is from RNAcentral.
CCUAUUAGUGGGGGAUAACGAAUCGAAAGGUUCGCUAAUACCGCAUACGUCCUACGGGAGAAAGGGGGGGAGUCUUCGGACCUCUCGCUAAUAGAUGAGCCUAGGCCGGAUUAGCUAGUUGGUAGGGUAAAGGCCUACCAAGGCGACGAUCUGUAGCUGGUCUGAGAGGAUGGCCAGCCACACUGGAACUGAGACACGGUCCAGACUCCUACGGGAGGCAGCAGUGGGGAAUAUUGGACAAUGGGGGCAACCCUGAUCCAGCCAUGCCGCGUGUGUGAAGAAGGCCUUCGGGUUGUAAAGCACUUUAAGCGAGGAGGAAGGUUUUUAGUUUAAUACACUAAAGAAUUGACGUUACUCGCAGAAUAAGCACCGGCUAACUCUGUGCCAGCAGCCGCGGUAAUACAGAGGGUGCAAGCGUUAAUCGGAAUUACUGGGC